Molecule: ribosomal RNA, 712 nt
Filed under: uncultured bacterium
Lineage: Bacteria
Description: bacterial SSU rRNA
Rfam family: Bacterial small subunit ribosomal RNA
Source: RNAcentral
GGUGAGUAACACGUGGGCAACCUGCCCUGCAGACUGGGAUAACUUCGGGAAACCGGAGCUAAUACCGGAUAACACCGAAAACCGCAUGGUUUUCGGUUGAAAGGCGGCUUUUAGCUGUCACUGCAGGAUGGGCCCGCGGCGCAUUAGCUAGUUGGUGAGGUAACGGCUCACCAAGGCGACGAUGCGUAGCCGACCUGAGAGGGUGACCGGCCACACUGGGACUGAGACACGGCCCAGACUCCUACGGGAGGCAGCAGUAGGGAAUCUUCCGCAAUGGACGAAAGUCUGACGGAGCAACGCCGCGUGAGCGAAGAAGGUCUUCGGAUCGUAAAGCUCCGUUGUCAGGGAAGAACAAGUACCGUUCGAACAGGGCGGUACCUUGACGGUACCUGACGAGGAAGCCACGGCUAACUACGUGCCAGCAGCUGCGGUAAUACGUAGGUGGCAAGCGUUGUCCGGAAUUAUUGGGCGUAAAGCGCGCGCAGGCGGUUCCUUAAGUCUGAUGUGAAAUCUCGCGGCUCAACCGCGAGCGGCCAUUGGAAACUGGGGGACUUGAGUGCAGGAGAGGAAAGCGGAAUUCCAUGUGUAGCGGUGAAAUGCGUAGAGAUAUGGAGGAACACCAGUGGCGAANGCGGCUUUCUGGCCUGUAACUGACGCUGANGCGCGAAAGCGUGGGGAACAAACAGGAUUAGAUACCCUGGUAGUCCACGCC